GCUAUUGGAGUUCGAUUAAGCCAUGCGAGUCGAGAGUCCUCGGGACUCGGCGUACCGCUCAGUAACACGUGGGUAACCUGCCCUAUGCUGGGGAAUAACCUCGGGAAACUGAGAAUAAUGCCCCAUAGCCCACUACGCCUGGAACGGUGAGUGGGUCAAAGCUCCGGCGGCAUAGGAUGGGCCUGCGCCGUAUCAGGUUGUAGGGGGUGUAAAGUACCCUCUAGCCAUCAACGCGUACGGGUGUUGGGAGACAUUGCCCGGAGAUGGAUUCUGAGACACGAAUCCAGACCCUACGGGGUGCAGCAGGCGCGAAAACUUGGCAAUGCGAGCAAUCGUGACCAGGGAACUCCAAGUGCGUAGGGUAAGACCUACGCUUUUCUUGACUCUUCAAAGGUCUUGGAAUAAGGAGUGGGUAAGGACGGUGCCAGCCGCCGCGGUAAUACCGGCGCCUCAAGUGGUAGUCGCUUUUAUUGGGCCUAAAACGUCCGUAGCCGGUCUGGUGCAUUCGUGGGUAAAUCAACCCGCUCAACGGGUUGAAUUCUGCGAGCACGGCCAGACUUGGGACCGGGAGAGGUGUGGGGUACUCUCAGGGUAGGGGUAAAAUCCUGUCAUCCUGAGAGGACCACCUGUUGCGAAGGCGCCACACUAGAACGGAUCCGACGGUCAGGGACGAAACCUAGGGGCACGAACCGGAUUAGAUACCCGGGUAGUCCUAGGUGUAAGCGCUGUGGACUUGAUGUUGGGGGCGCUCCGAGCGCUCUCAGUGUCGAAGCGAGGGUGAUAAGUCCACUGCCUGGGGAGUACGGUCGCAAGGCUGAAACUUAAAGGAAUUGGCGGGGGAGCACUGC
Molecule: ribosomal RNA, 848 nt
Filed under: uncultured archaeon
Lineage: Archaea
Description: bacterial SSU rRNA
Rfam family: Archaeal small subunit ribosomal RNA
Source: RNAcentral